RNAcentral lists this long non-coding RNA (424 nucleotides) under Pan troglodytes (chimpanzee). RNAcentral's name for it is "long non-coding RNA NONPTRT008536". Lineage: Eukaryota; Metazoa; Chordata; Mammalia; Primates; Hominidae. The record is from RNAcentral.
GCCAGUACCUCCCUACACACACACGCACACACACACUGUCCUGUAAGGUUGAAAUUUGGGGCCAGUACCUCCCUAUACACACACACACAUACACACACACACACGCACGCACACACACACACUGUCCUGUAAGGUUGAAAUUUGGGGCCAGUACCUCCCUAGACACACACACACACACACACACACACACACACUGUCCUGUACCUCCCUACACACACACACACACACACGCUGUCCUUACACUGGCUUACCUCCCUGUACACACACACACACAUGCACGCACACACUGUCCUGUACCUCCCUAUACACACACACGCUGUCCUUACACUGGCUUACCUCCCUAUACACACACACACACACGCACACGCUGUCCUGUACCUCCCUACACACACACACAUGCUGUCCUUACACUGGCUUCCUGUCC